AUUGAACGCUGGCGGCAGGCUUAACACAUGCAAGUCGAACGAGUGGCGGACGGGUGAGUAAUGCUUGGGAAUCUAGCUUAUGGAGGGGGAUAACUACGGGAAACUGUAGCUAAUACCGCGUACCAUAGGAUGAGCCCCAGUGGGAUUAGGUAGUUGGUGAGGUAAAGGCUCACCAAGCCGACGAUCUCUAGCUGGUCUGAGAGGAUGACCAGGCACACUGGGACUGAGACACGGCCAAGACUCAUAAGGGAGGCAGCAGUGGGGAAUAUUGCGCAAUGGGCGCAAGCAUGAUGCAGCCAUGAAGCGUGUAGGAAGAAGGCCGUCGGGUUGUAAAGUACUUUCAGUCGGGAGGAGUUACAGACAGAAGAAGCACCGGCUAACUCCGUGCCAGCAGCCGCGGUAAUUC
Molecule: ribosomal RNA, 406 nt
Filed under: uncultured bacterium
Lineage: Bacteria
Description: partial 16S ribosomal RNA
Rfam family: Bacterial small subunit ribosomal RNA
Source: RNAcentral